CAUUAUCAACUUGAAAAGGUUUCAUUCUCUUUACCAAGGACUCAGAACUUUACAACUACAUUUUAUCUGACUGGCAUGUUACUGUCAACUACAUAUGAAGCAAUAUUUGCUGACUCACUAUUAUGUAAUGGAGUCUCACUCCCAGCCAUAACAGUUUGCAGUAUCUAUUACAUUCAGUAAACAGUGUUGACUGUUGGACUGGUAGAUACCAGGAACUCUUAAACUCUUGACUUUUGGGCUGCUGACGUUUCUUAGUGAAUGUUUGUAUAUAAUUGGUGCUUUGUUUUGGUUUGACAACUUACAGUGGAGUUCAAGAUCUCUUAUCUGCAGAAUUUUUAUCAAAAUGGCACAAACAGUUCUCAUAUUAAACAGAGGCUUUUCAACUUCACCAUCAGCCAUGACAGCAAUAAAACAUGUCACUGUUAUUGGAGGUGGCAUCAUGGGAUCUGGAAUUGCUCAGGUUGCUGCACAGUCUGGAUAUCAAGUAACUCUUGCUGAAAUUAAUGAAGGAGCUCUAGAGA
This is a long non-coding RNA of Cryptotermes secundus, 521 nucleotides long. RefSeq lists it as uncharacterized. The transcript is spliced from 2 exons. NCBI's taxonomy places the organism in Eukaryota, Metazoa, Arthropoda, Insecta, Blattodea, Kalotermitidae. The record is from RefSeq and is a predicted model, not a curated record.